UGAACGCUAGCGGCAGGCUUAACACAUGCAAGUCGAGGGGCAUCGAGAGUAGCAAUACUCGUCGGCGACCGGCGCAAGGGUGCGUAACACGUGAGCAACAUACCCGUUUCAGGAGGAUAACCGGAGGAAACUCUGCCUAAUACUCUAUAAUAUCAUCAGACGGCAUCGUUUAAUGAUUAAAGAUUCAUCGGAAACGGCUUGGCUCGCGGGACAUUAGCUUGUUGGUGAGGUAACGGCUCACCAAGGCUACGAUGUCUAGGGGUUCUGAGAGGAAGGUCCCCCACACUGGAACUGAGACACGGUCCAGACUCCUACGGGAGGCAGCAGUGAGGAAUAUUGGACAAUGGUCGGAAGACUGAUCCAGCCAUGCCGCGUGAAGGUUACUGUCCUAUGGAUAUUAAACUUCUUUUGUAUGAGAGCAAUAAGGUGCACGUGUGCACCGAUGAGAGUAUCAUACGAAUAAGCAUCGGCUAACUCCGUG
RNAcentral lists this ribosomal RNA (481 nucleotides) under uncultured bacterium. Its description in RNAcentral is "bacterial SSU rRNA". It matches the Rfam family "Bacterial small subunit ribosomal RNA", at positions 30 to 507 of the family's 1533-position model. The record is from RNAcentral.